UAGGAUUCCCUCAGUAAUGGCGAAUGAACAGGGAAAAGCUCAGUAUGGAAAUUGGGGCCUCUGGCCUUGAAUUGUAGUCUUGAGAUGGCAUUGCCAGCGGAGGCGCAGAUGUAAGCCUAUUGGAAAAUAGCAUCAAUGAGGGUGAGAGUCCCGUUUGUCAUCUGCAGUCCCCCGUGCACGGUGUGCUUUCUAAGAGUCACGUUCCUUGGGAUUGGAGCGCAAAUUGGGUGGUAAAUUUCAUCUAAAGCUAAAUAUUGGUUCGAGACCGAUAGCAAACAAGUACCAUGAGGGAAAGGUGAAAAGGACUUUGAAAAGAGAGUUAAAAGUGCCUGAAAUUGCUGAAAGGGAAGCGAAUGGAACCAGUCUUCUUGGUGAGAUUGGUGCACGCUAUAGUGAUUGCUCGCUGCUUCAACGCAAGUGUUGCAGUGGGUUUUGAUCUUGACGUGUGUGCUGCUUCUUACCUCGUGUGUCAACGUCGGUUCGGAAUUGAGGAAAACUCUAGGGACAUGGUAUCUCUGUUGCGGUGGAGUGAAUGUGCCUGGUAGAACUCAUUUCUUAACUGAUUUCUGCAUGUCUGGUCGCAGUGUUUCAUUACCUGUGUCUGGUUCUGCGCUUGUAGCUUCUGUUGCAGGUUGUGGUUCUGGGCCUGGUCGUGGAGCAUCUCCCUGACAUUAGUACGAUGACAAAAUGGUUUCAUUCGACCCGUCUUGAAACACGGACCAAGGAGUCUAACAUAUGUGCAAGUUCAUGGGUGUUAAACCUAAUUGCGCAAUGAAAGUGACUGCUGGGAUAUUUGCACCAGCAACCGACCAAUCAAUUGUGAGAGGUUUGAGUAUGAGCAUAUCUGUUAGGACCCGAAAGAUGGUGAACUAUGCGUGAGAAGGGUGAAGUCAGGGGAA
This 899-nucleotide ribosomal RNA is filed under the name Karlodinium ballantinum. RNAcentral's name for it is "LSU rRNA". It matches the Rfam family "Eukaryotic large subunit ribosomal RNA", at positions 70 to 860 of the family's 3401-position model. Lineage: Eukaryota; Dinophyceae; Gymnodiniales; Kareniaceae. The record is from RNAcentral.